This is a non-coding RNA of Callorhinus ursinus (northern fur seal), 100 nucleotides long. Lineage: Eukaryota; Metazoa; Chordata; Mammalia; Carnivora; Otariidae. The record is from RefSeq and is a predicted model, not a curated record.
GAUACUCUAGAAAUAAUUGUUGCUAUGGCUAAUGUGAGAAAUUACAACCUGUGGUCCCUUCUAGAAUUUUUAUGGUUUCAGGUCUCACAUUUAGGUCUUU